Molecule: long non-coding RNA, 686 nt
Organism: Mus musculus (house mouse)
Lineage: Eukaryota; Metazoa; Chordata; Mammalia; Rodentia; Muridae
Product: predicted gene, 41956
Exons: 3
Source: RefSeq, a predicted model, not a curated record
CUGCGUGACCAAAUUUAGUACAGAGCAGUUUAGCCUUUUAAAGACAAGGGGGCCACGCAAUGAGAAAAAGAGAAAAAUGCAAAGGCUGGCAGAAGCCGCAGGACACUGGAAGCCAGGGUAGCAGGGACCGGGAGUCAUGAAGAGAGCAGCUCCUGCUGCCACCGCACUCUGCCUCCCCGCAAGCUCCACAGCAAAGAAGCCAGGAACUGCUGUCUGGAAUCCCUGGAACUGUACAUGAGUAGUUUGUCUGGAUAAUGUAUGUGCGCACACCGGCGCUGGUGCCCUGGGACUGGAGUUGCAGAGUUGUGAGCUGCCUUGUAGGUGCUGGGAACUGAACUGACCUGCCUCCUCUGGAAGGUAGCGGUGCUUUUAACCUUUCAACCACUGCCCCAGCUCCACAUUUGCACCUUUCUUUCAAAUGGUGAGGCUAAAACCAAGCCUGAACCCAGGCCUUUGCAUUUACUAGGUAAGCUUUCUAGCACUAAGGCACACUCCCAGACCAAUCUUAACAUUUUGGGAGUAGGGAGGGGAGGGUGGUUUGUUUGUUUGUUUGUUUGUUUAUCUCCUUAUUUGCCUGAUUGCUUUUGAGACAAAGUAUCCCUACAUAGCCUUGGCAGGCUGGGAACUCCCUCUGUAGACUAGGCUGGCCUAAAAAGUCAUAGAGAUCUACCUACCUCUGCCUCCUG